AGAAUUAACGCUGGCGGCGUGCCUAACACAUGCAAGUCGAACGCGGUUACCCCGCAAGGGGUAACUGAGUGGCGAACGGGUGAGUAACACGUGGGUGACCUACCUUCGAAUGGGGGAUAACGUCCCGAAAGGGACGCUAAUACCGCAUAACAUCCUGCCUUUGAACAGGCGGAGAUCAAAGCCGGGAUCGCAAGACCUGGCGUUUGAAGAGGGGCCCGCGUCCGAUUAGCUAGUCGGUGAGGUAACGGCUCACCAAGGCGACGAUCGGUA
This 270-nucleotide ribosomal RNA is filed under the name uncultured soil bacterium. Its description in RNAcentral is "partial 16S ribosomal RNA". It matches the Rfam family "Bacterial small subunit ribosomal RNA", at positions 26 to 285 of the family's 1533-position model. The record is from RNAcentral.